GACGGAGGAGGCAAGCGUUAUCCGGAAUUAUUGGGCGUAAAGGGUACGUAGGCGGCUAGUCAAGUCUGGGGUCAAAGGCCACAGCUCAACUGUGGGAAGGCCCUGGAAACUGACCGGCUAGAGUGAGGUAGGGGUUGCGGGAAUUCCCGGUGUAGCGGUGAAAUGCGUAGAGAUCGGGAAGAACACCUGAGGCGGAAGCGCGCAACUGGGCCUCAACUGACGCUGAGGUACGAAAGCCAGGGGAGCGAACGGG
Molecule: ribosomal RNA, 253 nt
Filed under: uncultured bacterium
Lineage: Bacteria
Description: partial 16S ribosomal RNA
Rfam family: Bacterial small subunit ribosomal RNA
Source: RNAcentral